GACGAACGCUGGCGGCGUGCUUAACACAUGCAAGUCGAACGGAAAGGCCCCUUUGGGGGUACUCGAGUGGCGAACGGGUGCGUAACACGUGAGUAACCUGCCCUUGCCUUCGGGAUAACUUCAGGUAACUGGGGCUAAUACCGGUUAGGAAUCCUUGCUGCAUGGUGGGGGUUGGAAAGCUUCGGCGGUUUUGGAUGGACUCGCGGCUUAUCAGCUUGUUGGUGGGGUAGUGGCUUACCAAGGCGUUGACGGGUAGCCGGCCUGAGAGGGCGACCGGCCAUAUUGGGACUGAGGUACGGCCCAGACUCCUACGGGAGGCAGCAGGGGGGAAUAUUGCACAAUGGGCGGAAGCCUGAUGCAGCAACGCCGCGGGCGGGAUGACGGCCUUCGGGUUGUAAACCGCUUUCAGCAGGGGCGAAGCUUGUGGUGACGGUACCUGCAGAAGAAGCACCGGCUAACUACGUG
This 465-nucleotide ribosomal RNA is filed under the name uncultured bacterium. RNAcentral describes it as "partial 16S ribosomal RNA". It matches the Rfam family "Bacterial small subunit ribosomal RNA", at positions 28 to 507 of the family's 1533-position model. The record is from RNAcentral.